This is a long non-coding RNA of Brassica napus (rape), 2512 nucleotides long. RefSeq lists it as uncharacterized. NCBI's taxonomy places the organism in Eukaryota, Viridiplantae, Streptophyta, Magnoliopsida, Brassicales, Brassicaceae. The transcript has 2 exons. The record is from RefSeq and is a predicted model, not a curated record.
CCAUCAUGUGAGCUUGUGUUGAUUUUUGUCUUUAGUUUGAUUUUAUAUUGAUAAUUACUUUGUACCCCGUUUUUUUCAUUCAUAAUCAGUUUUUCUAUUGAUUUAUUUCGGAAUUUAAAAGCUCUCCAUUCAUACCACCGUGCAAGAUCUUCGAACUUACCAUAAAUACUAUCAGCAGCCUCUUUUUGUUCUCAUUCCCUGUCGGGGAAGGUGGAUAAAAAAAAGUAGAUUGCUUCUCUCCUUGACUGAUGGCUGCAGCGAAACUGAAAAAAAUGUACCAACCGAACAUGGAAUUCGUUCAAAAGAAUCGAAGGUAAAAGAGUUCGAAGUUAUUAUUAUCAAAAUGAUUUGAACUCUUUCAAAGACCCAACAUGUAUUUCUUUUUGCACUGGACUCUUUCAUUAACUGAUAGAAAGAUCAGUUAGUCUACCAUGUUUGGUCUGUGAUAAAAGCAGUCUCUCUCUCCGGUUGGUUUAACUGGUAAUGAAAAUAUGAAUAUAUCUUCAGGAAGAGGAAGAGAAUCAUGCUCUUUUGCUCUUAGAAUCAGUUGUUAUAGAAGGAGUGGAAAACGGUGAAUAAGACCUGCAAAUCCCCUUCUAAAUGGUUACCGACUGAAUUAUUUUGGAGGUUAACAGUCACCUUUCAGUCGCUAAAUUUGAGACUGAAUUUAUCAGUUGCAAAAUCAGUCGGAAAUUAGUAGGAAAACAGUAGGUAAGUAUUAUCCUAAACUUAAAUCUGAUACCCUAAAUGUUUUAAAACCUUAAACGUUAAAUAUAAACCUUAAAACUUUAACCUUUUCACACAAUAAACAUUAAUCUAAACCCUACCCUAAAUACCAUUUCUUAAAACCCUAUAUCGUAAAUACAAACUCCAAUUAUAAUAUAAAAUAUCAUAAAUACAUACUCCAGUUAUAAUAUUUUGAAAUUUAAAAUAUAAAAUUUUAAUAUCAAAUCUUAAAUUCAAACUUGAAGUUAAUCUUUUUGAUAAUUAAUCUCGAAUCUUAAAACUAUAACUCAAAUACUAUACACCAAACCCUAUAGUCCAAAGCACAAAUCUAAAUAUCAAAUCUAAAAAUUCAAAUUUCAAUAAAUAUAAACUCUAGGUUUAUAAAGUUUACAAACCAACUUAUUUCAAAUCACAUAUUUAAUUUCAACUCUCCCAAAUUCCAAAACAACAUACUUCAACUAUAAACUUAAUCUCUAAACUUUCAUUUCCCAAACCGUCUUACAUAUCAAUACAAUUGGUCACAUCUCUUAUUUCUCACCUUACAACCACAACCACAACCACAUAUCACAUAUAGUUUAAAAAAAUAUAUCUCAUUUUUGAUUUUUCCUUUCAGCUAACACACCACUACAUGGAUUACAAUCUUGGCCUUUGGUUAGAUUAAUCUAAGGGCUCUUAUCCAUUCGUGUUUUCUCCUUUCUCAACCACAUGUCUCUUAUCUCUCUUUCCAAUCUCUCUCCCACGUCCAUCCUCUUCUGUGUUUCAUCCUCUUUCUUUUUGUGAAGAAGCUACUGACGUUCAUCCUCUGCUCCUUUUUCAUUGUUCUUAGUUUUCUCUCUUUCUCUUCACUUCUUAAAGCUAUGCCUACAUCUAAUUAAAUUUUUUUUUGUUUAAAGAUUUGAGAAGUUAUGAAACGGAAAGGUCUCUGGUGUGGAGAGGGAGCUUCGGUGUGGCUCCUCAACUCGCGGCGUGGAAGGAGGAGGAGAGGAAGCUUCGAUGUGGCUCUACCUCAUCUCGUCGUCACCUCUCUCCACUUCGUCUCCGGUCAUCAAGUUCUUCUCAGCCUCUCUUUGCCAUGAACCUCGCCGGUCAAGCUCUCUGUCUCUCUCUCUGAUUUUGUAUUGUUUUUGGUAAAGUAAGGUGGUGGCAAGGAGAGGUAGUGGUCGUGAGCUUGAAGACAGAGGAGGUACGACGUCGUGGUGUGGCGGUGGUGGUGCAAGCCGUCUCUGGUCAAUGGACAGUGAAGACGAAGCUUUAUGGUCGUCCCGUCUGAGUUAUCAGCCAGGAACGGGGAAAGCUGAGAAAGAGCAAAGACAAGGACAGGAGUUAAGGGGCACCGGAGAGCACGGCGGCGGCGGUUUGGAAAAAUAGAUUCUACGUCGUAUUUCAUCUUCUUCUCAGAAAAAUCGGAGGGGAAGAGAUAGAUUAUAUAGUGAUUGCACUAAAUGAUGGAGCUUUAUGGGUCACGAUUUAACGUUACAGAGGAGAAGCUAAAGAGGUGAAAUCGGCUGGGUUUCUCCAAGGAAAAGGAUCAAAAAGAAAUUGAUCAGUCGGCGACGAAAGCGAUAGGUUUCACUGUAGUAGAUGACAUGGCAUAAUACAGGACUGUGAUUGGUCUGAAUUAAUUUGUCGACGUUGCAUAGCUAAACAUUGAGCUUAUUCUCCUUUUAGUAUCGUAAGAUAUCUAAUUUUUUUGUAUAGUUCUAGGUGAUUAGUGGUUGAUUGUUUCUAGUUCAACCGGGCUUUUGAAAAUUAUUAAUAUAUAAAAACAAAACGAACUUCUUAGUUA